GCCCCUGUAGCUUAAACAUUAAAGCAUUG
RNAcentral lists this transfer RNA (29 nucleotides) under Holbrookia maculata bunkeri. RNAcentral describes it as "partial tRNA-Thr". RNAcentral also lists the same sequence under 1 other name. Lineage: Eukaryota; Metazoa; Chordata; Lepidosauria; Squamata; Phrynosomatidae. The record is from RNAcentral.